UCCGGUGUGGUGUAGCGGUAACAUUGUUGACUCUCAUCUGCUGUCUCAUCAGCGUACAGAUCUCAAUAGCCCGGGGUUCGAUUCCCCGCAUCGGAA
Non-coding RNA from Podospora appendiculata, 96 nucleotides. Lineage: Eukaryota; Fungi; Ascomycota; Sordariomycetes; Sordariales; Podosporaceae. The record is from the annotation of a GenBank genome assembly.